CAAAGCCUUGUGGGUAGGUUACCAACGUCCUUGUCCACCAAGCGCCCACCGACUGGCUUCGCGCUUGGGAUUUUGGGGGUCUCUGUCAUUCACUAGUACUUGAACUAAGUUGGAAUUGUCCAACAUGAUUGCAGCAAGAUUGCUCCGCCGUUCUCUCCCCGUACUGAGGCAAGCGCGCUGCUACGCCGAGGCUGCCUCCGGUGCCCCGCAGAUGUCCUUCACUUUCGCCUCCCCGACACAGGUGUUCUUCAAAGAGGCCACCGUGAAGCAGGUGGACGUGCCCACGCUGACUGGCGCGUUUGGUAUCCUUCCUGCCCACGUGCCCACCUUGCAGGUCCUGCGGCCUGGCGUUGUCACGGUCUUCAGCGACGACGGCUCCGCUGCUAAAUACUUCGUGAGCAGUGGGUCCAUAACGGUCAAUGCCGAUUCUUCAGUGCAGCUGCUCGCUGAAGAGGCUGUACCGCUGGACCAGCUGGACAUUGCUGCUGCCAAGGCCAACCUGGAGAAGUCCCAGGCUGACCUGGCCGGUACGUCAGACGAGAUGGCGAGGGCAGAGGUUCAGGUCAGCAUAGAUGCCAACGAAGCCAUCGUCAAGGCGUUGGAGUAGACAUGCCCUGCGGUACGGCCCACCACCCAACUUUAUCCACCAGUUCAUCUGUCAAAGUGCUUUUUUUGGAGGAACGCCCUUUCAGCAUCUUCAGUUGUCCUGUGAAUUCCAUGCUUGCUUUGUACAGUGGACGAAAAAACAAAAUAAAUUUACUUGGAAUUA
This is an RNA transcript of Phycodurus eques (leafy seadragon), 769 nucleotides long. It is a transcript of the gene named ATP synthase F1 subunit delta, with no coding region annotated. NCBI's taxonomy places the organism in Eukaryota, Metazoa, Chordata, Actinopteri, Syngnathiformes, Syngnathidae. The transcript is spliced from 5 exons. The record is from RefSeq and is a predicted model, not a curated record.